This 701-nucleotide ribosomal RNA is filed under the name uncultured Lactobacillus sp. RNAcentral's name for it is "bacterial SSU rRNA". It matches the Rfam family "Bacterial small subunit ribosomal RNA", at positions 8 to 676 of the family's 1533-position model. Lineage: Bacteria; Bacillati; Bacillota; Bacilli; Lactobacillales; Lactobacillaceae. The record is from RNAcentral.
AGAGUUUGAUCCUGGCUCAGGACGAACGCUGGCGGCGUGCCUAAUACAUGCAAGUCGAGCGAGCGGAACUAACAGAUUUACUUCGGUAAUGACGUUAGGAAAGCGAGCGGCGGAUGGGUGAGUAACACGUGGGGAACCUGCCCCAUAGUCUGGGAUACCACUUGGAAACAGGUGCUAAUACCGGAUAAGAAAGCAGAUCGCAUGAUCAGCUUUUAAAAGGCGGCGUAGGCUGUCGCUAUGGGAUGGCCCCGCGGUGCAUUAGCUAGUUGGUAAGGUAAAGGCUUACCAAGGCGAUGAUGCAUAGCCGAGUUGAGAGACUGAUCGGCCACAUUGGGACUGAGACACGGCCCAAACUCCUACGGGAGGCAGCAGUAGGGAAUCUUCCACAAUGGACGCAAGUCUGAUGGAGCAACGCCGCGUGAGUGAAGAAGGUUUUCGGAUCGUAAAGCUCUGUUGUUGGUGAAGAAGGAUAGAGGUAGUAACUGGCCUUUAUUUGACGGUAAUCAACCAGAAAGUCACGGCUAACUACGUGCCAGCAGCCGCGGUAAUACGUAGGUGGCAAGCGUUGUCCGGAUUUAUUGGGCGUAAAGCGAGCGCAGGCGGAAGAAUAAGUCUGAUGUGAAAGCCCUCGGCUUAACCGAGGAACUGCAUCGGAAACUGUUUUUCUUGAGUGCAGAAGAGGACAGUGGAACUCCAUGUGU